CAGCGUUUGCUCGAAAAUUUCAUUACUUGUCAGGAAUGUACAAUUGUAUCGCAAAUAUUUGUGUUACUUUAUAUUUUUGUAAAUAUUGGUAUAAAAAAUGAAACUUUGACGAAGAAUAAUUUUAUCUCCUAAAAACUAUCACAGGUACCCCAUUUACUAUAUUUGUUGCAUAUUAUGUGCAUUCUUUUUAGUCAUUUUUGCACCUUUAAUUUUCCAACGAGUGCAUAAAAAUUCGCGAUUUAUACCAUACGUAAUAAAAAUAUUACGAACUUCUCCGAUAAUCUAACAUUAACAACGAUCAUAAUGUCGAUCGACAACCAAGAAAGGGAAAUUAGUUGUAUUUUAUCGCUGCUCGCUCUUUAUACUUUGCAACAGCGUGCAAGCGUGUGCCUCGUUGUCGCGAAAAUUAACUACGCGAGGUGACAAAGGUUGAAAUUGCUUUACGUUAGAGCGGGAUUUCGUGGUGAAAGUUUGCCACUGGCGGGAGGUUACAAGGGGGUGGAUUUUGGAAUACAAAUUAUAAGCAAGCACAGUUUUCGAGACAAACUACGAUUUGCGAGGUAAACACUCGCCGGAGUUUCGCGGAUCUUCGAAUAUUAACUAAAUUGUAAGGUAACCAAGAGGCGUUCGUGCAAAUACAAAUAGCUACGUAGGUUAAUUUCUGCGGAAUUACAUGCGCAACAGUUAAUCGUAAUAAAUUUCAGAAAAUUAUCCAGCUGCUAUCAUUAAUUCUGUAACAUUACGCCUGUACAUAAUCCUGUUAAUACCGCGUGUACUAAGAAAUUUCUCAAGUAUAAAUCAUCGACUUCCAUAAAUUGAAAAAAGAAGCUUCCUAAAAUAAUUAUCUUUUUUACUUACACAUACUCAUAACAUUUUUCUUUCACAUUUUUUAUCAUAUUGCUAUUUUUCAAUUUUUUCAUUCAUCAGGUUAAUCGAUGUUACUUCUGAAUAGUUUAAAUAACGAAGAACUGUCCACUUCUUAAAAAAUAGGCUGAAACAAGUCUUCUUGAAGGUCUUCCGAAACAAAAAUGGGUGAAGAACACAGUGUAGCGUUCUGCUAUGGUUUUAGGAUUAAACGAAGUUUCACCUUUCCCACCAAAAACCUGUAACUGUACCUCAAAGGAUAAAUGGUGGAAAAAUGCGAAAGAAGUUUCGAAUUCACCGACAUACUCGCGCGAUUCCCCAACACAUUCUCGUUAAUUCGGCACGUGACGACCCGACAGAAAUCAAUUUCGUAGAAAAUCACCGAUUCAGCCGGAGUCCCGCUUUGAUCGACGCAACAAGAAGAAAUCAGAAGUCCCGGUAGUAUCGAAUCUGUAGGAAAGUUGAAUCGCGACACGACCUUCCAUAAUAUCACUUUUUCCGCAUGUACGCAUAAUCGAUCUUAUUUUCUCUCGCCAGUAUGAAAGGUUGCCCCACAAAAUUGGGAUGGAAUUUAUAUUUGGAAUCCAUCGAACCGGCUGACUGCAACGGUUCGUACCACGCGACCAGAAUCAUUUUCUUCCUUGACGUUCUAGGCGUUUCGGGAUAUUCUCGGGAUAGUUAAUUUCGUUGACAUUUAACGUUAAAGAUAGCGCUAAGAUCAUUUUCCAUCGCUAACGAACCGACAAGAAGCACGAUUUUCAUCGACGAGUAUAAUUAUUGAGAAAUUUCUUACUUCAGGGGAAAGGUAGGCGUUGUUUCGUCUUUUGUUUAAAAUGUACAACAACAGGUUGCUGUUCGGCGAUUGUUUGUCAAGCGUAAGCUUAACCUUGGACAUUUGUGGCAGCUAAAAACGCUAUGACGAACAUUCGCGCGAUCGCUUGGAAGCAACACAAGUACAUUAGGAACAUAGAAUAAUUUUAACCAAUUACAGGAACAAAGAAUUACGGAUCUUUUACAAAGCAAAUACUUGGUAUUACGCGUGUUAACACAUAAAUUAGACGCGACAUUAAGAGUUUAAGAGGAAUAUCAGAAAAGAAAGAACUGUGCUAUCUCGUGCGUUAAAUAGAUAAGAAUGCAGAAGGUAAAGUUAGAUCGCAGUGUGGGUGGCAAUCAUUUAGAACGAUUACUCAGACACAAAGAAUUCUAACGUUUAUCCAGCAUGAUUGGCUUGGUCGCCUCGAGUAUUCAUCGAGUCGAGUCGUUUUACGAGUCAGAAUUUUCAUUCUAACUGCAACCAGCUGCGAAUCCAGGCUCGUCGCUGUUUCUUAGAGCAAUCGACGGGUGUAGUCACUGAACCGUCAACGACUGGGAUUCAAAUUUUACAAGAGCAGAACAAGGCGACGAAACGGCUCCAUUAACUACGUUGUAAUCGAUACACGAUUGGUUUCAAAGGAAGGUCAGGAUCAGACAAACCAGAUACACAAUUAAUAACUUUAUCUUUGAUCGAAGGGAAUCGGAAAGAAGCGAGAAAGAGCGAGAGAGGAAACUGACAGCCGGCGAGUAUCGACGAUGAGUGGUAUCGGUGAAAAAGAACAAGAAAACAGUUCCACUGGAACAGAAUCGCUGCGGUUUAAAUGUCUUGGAGCGCGCAUUGGAUUACGACGAUCGUUCUUACGACUUCGACAGCCUACUAUCGCGUUACCAACUUCUGAGAAGGUGGACAGCAGGCCGAAGCGUACCCGCCUUUUUUUCUCCCGACCUUCUCUCCUUGAAAGCUCGGCGAGCCUGCAAUUUCCUUUACGACACAGUAAUGAGCAAAUUGUACCGCCGUAAAACCAACUGCAAAGAGCCAGCUACGGGAAAAAAACUACGUUUAUAUACGCAACUCCUAAUCCGUGUAAGAUUUUUUCAAGCGCGUUUAUUUUCUCGAAAACUUUUACCAACCACCCACGCCUAACCUAUUUAAAGCAGAACGGUGAAAUUCACGACGAAUACACGAACAAGAUUAAAUUAUUUGCUCGUUGGAUCGAUCUAUUGGAAUCUUGUUUCUAUCAAACGCUUCGAGCUCUUUCGGUAUCAUGGUCGUACAUGAGCAGACCAUACACGGUAGAAACAGACACAGGGAUGUUUGUAAUAUAAAUGAUCUGUACACGCUUUAUGAGUACAAAUGUAUUACAGGAACAAAAGUUUUUUAAACAUCGGAUCGUACUUUUGAUAGAUUUCAAUUAACUUCUCUUCAAUGUCUUCCCUUUCGUUGUUACUCGAUCACACAACCUGCUACAAUAUCGAAGGCUCCUAAAUUUCGAUCUCGUCGAUAAAUAAAUAAUUAUCACGCUACGUAAAACAAUUUAACGGCGAUAUGAUAUACGAACUACCGAAUCAAAUACAUAAAAAUAUUAGAAGAUGCCCACCUGAUCAGAAAGCUAGAAAAAUGUAUCAAAUGUCCAGCUGGACAAAUUGUAAAGUUAAAUUAAAUAAAUAAAUAAAUAAAUAAAAAAGAAA
Bombus terrestris (buff-tailed bumblebee) is the source of this 3366-nucleotide long non-coding RNA. RefSeq lists it as uncharacterized. The transcript is spliced from 2 exons. The record is from RefSeq and is a predicted model, not a curated record. Lineage: Eukaryota; Metazoa; Arthropoda; Insecta; Hymenoptera; Apidae.